This 305-nucleotide ribosomal RNA is filed under the name uncultured bacterium. Its description in RNAcentral is "bacterial SSU rRNA". It matches the Rfam family "Bacterial small subunit ribosomal RNA", at positions 335 to 659 of the family's 1533-position model. The record is from RNAcentral.
GCCCUACGGGAGGCAGCAGUGGGGAAUAUUGCACAAUGGGGGAAACCCUGAUGCAGCAACGCCGCGUGAGUGAAGAAGUAUUUCGGUAUGUAAAGCUCUAUCAGCAGGGAAGAAAAUGACGGUACCUGAGUAAGAAGCCCCGGCUAACUACGUGCCAGCAGCCGCGGUAAUACGUAGGGGGCAAGCGUUAUCCGGAUUUACUGGGUGUAAAGGGAGCGUAGACGGCAGCGCAAGUCUGGAGUGAAAUGCCGGGGCCCAACCCCGUCGUGCCGUUGAAACUGGCGUUCUUGAGUGAGCGAGAAGUA